This 1432-nucleotide long non-coding RNA is filed under the name Solanum lycopersicum (tomato). Its description in RNAcentral is "partial TCONS_00067652". The record is from RNAcentral. Lineage: Eukaryota; Viridiplantae; Streptophyta; Magnoliopsida; Solanales; Solanaceae.
CGAAUCGCGAACCAGUAUCUCAAACCCAGCUCCGCAUCCCUCUCCUAUUGUCCUUAUCUACUUGUACUCAAAUCCUGAGGUGUCUCCAUCUUUGCAUCUCACUCCUCCUUGCUCGAGAAUCAAGCAACUUCAUCAUUAUUCUUUUUGAGACUUGUACUCAUUCGAGCUGGCAGCCUUAUCCCUUGAAGAGAAUUCGAAAUUCAAUCGGUUUCCCCCUCUUUCUGCCUUAUAUCUCCCCUUAUAAAUAUCCCCUCCUUCUUCAUUGUUUGGGGAUUGGGAAGAAAAGUUAGAAAUUUUUAGUUGGAAAAUUUGGAUUCAAGAAAAGUAAAGUAUACCGUGAAAUACAGACCCAAAAGUCCACCAAUAUUAACAGUGAGUGUUUAGGUUGUGUUCUCUUUUUCCGAAUGUAGUUGUUAAUCGUAAUCUCUCGGAGUCGUCGGAAGUCGCUGCCCUCCAAGCUCUUCAGUUGUCUCAGUUUAGCUGCCCAGAGAAAGAUAACGCCUUCUCCGUCUGCCUGAGUUCACCAUGAACUCCUAUUUUCCUUUUCCCGCAUUUCGUGAGAGACACGAAGGCUUCAACCCUUUCCUUCGAGUCGGCCGACCCUUGAAACUGAUGAACAGGUGUCGAGAAAGGCAUACAUGGCUGGAAGUUGACUUAUCAAGUCCCUAAAGCCUAAAAAAGGGGCUACAUAUGUGAUGCAUACCUGUUGUAUACACUGGUAUACGGGGCAAAAUAUUGUAAUAAAGGGUAAACGCAGCAGAAUACUGAAAAGAAAGGAGAGAACGUACAAGAUGUUGAAGAAAUUAGGCUGAUAUACAGCUUAAAAAUGACUAUAUAUAGUGUGAUACAUUUUGUAUAUACAGCAGGCUCAACAAAGAAGAAAAGGCCUGAUUUGGCCCAAAUUUGCAUCAGCUUUAGAAUUGGGGCAAAAAGCUCAAGUUUGAAUCUUAUUCUUCCUUUACUCUUAUUUACGUAUAUAUUUAUUGUGUUAACUAACUAACUAUUUUAUUUUAUUUUGGUUGUUAUUUAAUUAAACCCCCCUAAAAGAAGUCAUUUUUUUUCUUUUUCUUAUACUUUAUUUAAAUAUAUUUAUAUUUUUACUUAUUACUUAGUUUUUCUCUUAUUAUUUUAGUUGCACUUUAUGAAUUAUUUCCUUUAAAAAAUCCCCUUUUAGUUCAUUCCCCAUUAAAAUAAUUAAAAAUAAUAAGUAAGUAAAUAAAAUAAAAAAUGAAUAUCCUUUACUUUAGUUUAAAAUUUGAAAAGUUGUUUGAAAGUCACUUUACUCAAAUCGUCUGUCAACCGCAAGUUAGCAAACAUUUCGAGGGCCUAACAUCUUCUCGUAAUGUAUAUUGAACUUCGAACUCUUUUAUUUCAAAUUGAUUUUAUCUGUUUAAAUUUUUUUUGAAAACCUUAAGUUUUUCUAGCUUUUUAC